GGAAGAUAUAAAUGUUAGUUCCUAAAGAAAUUCAUUCAGCAAAAGAAGAUAUCACUGCUCUAAGAAGGGAAAUAUGUCAAAAUUUCCAUGUUGAGUUUAGUUUUUUAAGGCAGACUCACUCAAACUUUUCAAGCAUUUACCUGGGGGGAAAAAACAGUGCAGUGUAACCUGAAAAGAAGGGGCCCAGAAAGUGAAGGGGAUAUCAGGAGGGCUGCUUGAUACAUAGAGCAUGACUAUGAGAAGAGAGAAAAAUGACACAUGAGGAGGCAGCAGAGUGCUAUAAAAGGAGGUGGAAGAAUGCCUGGAGGAGAAGUGAGGUAUCAGAUAUGCACAGGGCCUGCAAGGGAAAGAGGGUGUUUGUGAAUAACAGAAGUUUCAAGAGUAUUCAGUUUAAGGAAAACAAAAAGCAGCACAUUAUUGCUUUGUUGGCAUAAGACACCUAAAAAAAUUCUUUAAAAUGAGACUAGAAGGCUUAUGAUGGCUUCCACCAAUCCUCAGAGUUCUUUGAUGGCAAGCCUCAGAGACUACAGAAUGUUAAACUACAUGAUGGAGAAAUUCUACUUCAG
RNAcentral lists this long non-coding RNA (566 nucleotides) under Heterocephalus glaber (naked mole-rat). RNAcentral describes it as "lncRNA (ENSHGLG00000049712.1)". Lineage: Eukaryota; Metazoa; Chordata; Mammalia; Rodentia; Bathyergidae. The record is from RNAcentral.